This 494-nucleotide ribosomal RNA is filed under the name uncultured Lysobacter sp. RNAcentral's name for it is "bacterial SSU rRNA". It matches the Rfam family "Bacterial small subunit ribosomal RNA", at positions 1 to 492 of the family's 1533-position model. The record is from RNAcentral. Lineage: Bacteria; Pseudomonadati; Pseudomonadota; Gammaproteobacteria; Lysobacterales; Lysobacteraceae.
UAGAGUUUGAAUCCCUGCUCAGAGUGAACGCUGGCGGCAGGCCUAACACAUGCAAGUCGAACGGCAGCACAGCAGUAGCAAUACUGUGGGUGGCGAGUGGCGGACGGGUGAGGAAUGCAUCGGAAUCUGCCUAUUUGUGGGGGAUAACGUAGGGAAACUUACGCUAAUACCGCAUACGACCUACGGGUGAAAGUGGGGGACCGCAAGGCCUCACGCAGAUAGAUGAGCCGAUGCCGGAUUAGCUAGUUGGCGGGGUAAGGGCCCACCAAGGCGACGAUCCGUAGCUGGUCUGAGAGGAUGAUCAGCCACACUGGAACUGAGACACGGUCCAGACUCCUACGGGAGGCAGCAGUGGGGAAUAUUGGACAAUGGGCGCAAGCCUGAUCCAGCAAUGCCGCGUGGGUGAAGAAGGCCUUCGGGUUGUAAAGCCCUUUUGUACGGGAAGAAAAGCUUCGGGUUAAUAACCCGGGGUCAUGACGUACCGAAGAAAAGCA